GAAAUACAUAGUGUUCAGAAAGAGUACAAGUUAACAUUAUUCUGAGAAAUGUUUAAAACUUGGUAUGGUAAGAGUACAACAAGGGCUCAAUCUGAUCAUAGUUCAACAUCAUUUCAAGAAGAGACUUUGAACAUCUAAUUUUACAGAAGGUGUUUAACUUUUCCGUGUCUCGUGAUUCGAAGACCUUCAAGAUGUCAUGGCAAACCAUGGGAGUCCUGAUUGAGGACAUUGUUUGGUUUCUGGCAUAGGAACAAUGGAACCUAGACAAAUACGCCACAAGUCGAGUAAGAUGGUGACUAGCAUUGCAGCACCCAAUGCAUCAAUGGACACUCUUGGCAAGUCCCAUGAAUCUCCAGGUUUCUCAUCAACCCUGAAAAACAUUGGAUAGCUUACAAUGAAGUAGAUUGCAUAAAACAAGGAACCAACUUUAUACAUCACUGCUCGGUCCACGAAGUCAUAGUACGGAAAAUUGGAAAUAGCUAAUGUCUCCAGAUAAGCUAUAAAAUAAGCAUAUGCAAGAAUCCACCCAGCCUUGAAAGCCCAUUGAACAUUCUCGGGCAAAUC
This 564-nucleotide unclassified non-coding RNA is filed under the name Hevea brasiliensis (rubber tree). The record is from RNAcentral. Lineage: Eukaryota; Viridiplantae; Streptophyta; Magnoliopsida; Malpighiales; Euphorbiaceae.